This 274-nucleotide ribosomal RNA is filed under the name uncultured bacterium. RNAcentral's name for it is "partial 16S ribosomal RNA". It matches the Rfam family "Bacterial small subunit ribosomal RNA", at positions 523 to 796 of the family's 1533-position model. The record is from RNAcentral.
AUACGGAGGGUGCAAGCGUUACUCGGAAUCACUGGGCGUAAAGCGCGCGCAGGUGGUCUUUUAAGUUGGAUGUGAAAGCCUACGGCUCAACCGUAGAACUGCAUCCAAAACUAUUAGACUAGAGUGUGGGAGAGGAAGAUGGAAUUAGUUGUGUAGGGGUAAAAUCCGUAGAGAUAACUAGGAAUACCAAAAGCGAAGGCAAUCUUCUGGAACACUACUGACGCUGAGGCGCGAAAGCGUGGGGAGCAAACAGGAUUAGAUACCCUAGUAGUCC